Molecule: ribosomal RNA, 70 nt
Filed under: Candida dubliniensis
Lineage: Eukaryota; Fungi; Ascomycota; Pichiomycetes; Serinales; Debaryomycetaceae
Description: partial 5.8S ribosomal RNA
Rfam family: 5.8S ribosomal RNA
About the family: 5.8S ribosomal RNA (5.8S rRNA) is a component of the large subunit of the eukaryotic ribosome. It is transcribed by RNA polymerase I as part of the 45S precursor that also contains 18S and 28S rRNA. Functionally, it is thought that 5.8S rRNA may be involved in ribosome translocation.
Source: RNAcentral
AUCAUCGAAUCUUUGAACGCACAUUGCGCCCUCUGGUAUUCCGGAGGGCAUGCCUGUUUGAGCGUCGUUU